AUGUAUUAUAGGUGGAUGCUACUCCUGUUCCGAGCCCUGCCACUGCUCUUCCCGUCCAGCACCAUGCCACCUAAGAAGCUGGGCUUAAGCAGCGAGGCUCUUUUCCAUGUCCUUACGACUUCAGAGGAUCCUGAUGGUUUCCUGCGCCAGCGACCACUGUCUUGCCCAGUCGUGCUUGUUUCUGAGGACAACUGCAUGAUCGCCAUUGGAAACAUGCCAGUGACCACCUUCAACAUUGAGAGGUUUGAUGAGGGACUGCUCUACCUCAUGGCAUAUUACUAUGCCCUGCACCUCACUUACCCAAAGUGUAUUUCCACACUUCUGUCAGUACUGCAAACACAAAUUCUCCAAGAUUCCAUUCAUGAGCAAGAUUUGACCCCUUCCUACAAAAAAGCCAUCGGCGAGUGGAAGUCCUUCAUUGAGUGAGUGAGUGAGUCUCUUUGUUUCUUUUGUGGUUGUUUCUUGACACCGCCUCACUCUCUAUCUCAUGUAAGACUUUCCAAGAAAGUCAAAGUUCUGUUUAAUGUAAGGUUUAUCACUGUUAGCCACAUUUGUUGGUGAAACUGAAAACUUUUCCUGUGGGAUAAUGUGCAAUAACAGCAGCUGCAAAGUUGUAAUAAUUGUUAUAGUA
Long non-coding RNA from Dicentrarchus labrax (European seabass), 631 nucleotides. Lineage: Eukaryota; Metazoa; Chordata; Actinopteri; Moronidae. The record is from Ensembl.